AGCAGCCGCGGUAAUUCCAGCUCCAAUAGCGUAUAUUAAAGUUGUUGCAGUUAAAAGCUGUAGUUGAAUUUCGGAAUCAAUGGAUCGGUCAUGCCACUCGGUGUGUACUGGUUUGAUUGUUCUCACCUUCUAAGGAACCGUGAUGUCAUUAAUUUGGUGUCGCGGGGAAUUAGGACUUUACCUUGAAAAAUUAGAGUGUUUAAAGCAAGCUCACGCUUGAAUACAUUA
This 228-nucleotide ribosomal RNA is filed under the name uncultured Glomeromycotina. RNAcentral's name for it is "partial small subunit ribosomal RNA". It matches the Rfam family "Eukaryotic small subunit ribosomal RNA", at positions 569 to 806 of the family's 1831-position model. The record is from RNAcentral. Lineage: Eukaryota; Fungi; Glomeromycota.